AAAUAGAUACCCGGUAGUCCACGCCGUAAACGAUGAGUGCUGAGUGUUAGGGGGUUUCCGCCCCUUAGUGCUGCAGCUAACGCAUUAAGCACUCCGCCUGGGGAGUACGGCCGCAAGGCUGAAACUCAAAGGAAUUGACGGGGGCCCGCACAAGCGGUGGAGCAUGUGGUUUAAUUCGAAGCAACGCGAAGAACCUUACCAGGUCUUGACAUCCUCUGACAACCCUAGAGAUAGGGCGUUCCCCUUCGGGGGACAGAGUGACAGGUGGUGCAUGGUUGUCGUCAGCUCGUGUCGUGAGAUGUUGGGUUAAGUCCCGCAACGAGCGCAACCCUUGAUCUUAGUUGCCAGCAUUUAGUUGGGCACUCUAAGGUGACUGCCGGUGACAAACCGGAGGAAGGUGGGGAUGACGUCAAAUCAUCAUGCCCCUUAUGACCUGGGCUACACACGUGCUACAAUGGAUGGUACAAAGGGCUGCCAAACCGCGAGGUUGAGCGAAUCCCGAUAAACCAUUCUNAGUUCGGAUUGCAGGCUGCUAACG
Molecule: ribosomal RNA, 538 nt
Filed under: uncultured bacterium
Lineage: Bacteria
Description: bacterial SSU rRNA
Rfam family: Bacterial small subunit ribosomal RNA
Source: RNAcentral